GACGGAGGAGGCAAGCGUUAUCCGGAAUUAUUGGGCGUAAAGGGUACGUAGGCGGCUGGUCAAGUCUGGGGUCAAAGGCCACAGCUCAACUGUGGGAAGGCCCUGGAAACUGGCCGGCUAGAGUGAGGUAGGGGUUGCGGGAAUUCCAGGUGUAGCGGUGAAAUGCGUAGAGAUCGGGAAGAACACCUGAGGCGGAAGCGCGCAACUGGGCCUCAACUGACGCUGAGGUAAGAAAGCUAGGGGAGCGAAUGGG
This 253-nucleotide ribosomal RNA is filed under the name uncultured bacterium. Its description in RNAcentral is "partial 16S ribosomal RNA". It matches the Rfam family "Bacterial small subunit ribosomal RNA", at positions 524 to 776 of the family's 1533-position model. The record is from RNAcentral.